This 459-nucleotide ribosomal RNA is filed under the name uncultured bacterium. RNAcentral describes it as "partial 16S ribosomal RNA". It matches the Rfam family "Bacterial small subunit ribosomal RNA", at positions 338 to 795 of the family's 1533-position model. The record is from RNAcentral.
CCUACGGGAGGCUGCAGUGAGGAAUAUUGGUCAAUGGUCGGGAGACUGAACCAGCCAAGCCGCGUGAGGGAUGAAGGUACAGAGUAUCGUAAACCUCUUUUGUCAGGGAACAAAGGCGGGGACGUGUCCCCGGAUGAGUGUACCUGAAGAAAAAGCAUCGACUAACUCCGUGCCAGCAGCCGCGGUAAUACGGAGGAUGCGAGCGUUAUCCGGAUUUAUGGGGUUAAAAGGGUGCGCAGGCGGUCUGUUAAGUCAGCGGUCAAAGCCCGGGGCUCAACCCCGGCCCGCCGUUGAAACUGGCAGUCUCGAGUUGGAGAGAAGUAUGCGGAAUGCGCGGUGUAGCGGUGAAAUGCAUAGAUAUCGCGCAGAACUCCGAUUGCGAAGGCAGCAUACCGGCGCUCAACUGACGCUCAUGCACGAAAGUGUGGGUAUCGAACAGGAUUAGAUACCCGGGUAGUC